Molecule: long non-coding RNA, 447 nt
Filed under: Parus major (Great Tit)
Lineage: Eukaryota; Metazoa; Chordata; Aves; Passeriformes; Paridae
Description: lncRNA (ENSPMJG00000019282.1)
Source: RNAcentral
CUCCUACAGACAUCAUUAUCUGGAAUGUAAUGAAAGGGGCCCGAUACAUCUCUGUGUCAUGAAAGUUUUGAAAUGUUACUGAGACAGUCAUGUUUCUGGAACAGCACAGGAUGUAGGUCAAUCUUGGCUGUGUCCUACAGGUGGGAGGAUCAAGGCAACACAUCCUGGGCAUUUUCAGGGAUUACAGGCUGGCAGCUGCUGACACCGAUGUGUAGCACAGGGAGCAGUUGGGCUGUGCAGUGUUUGCUUCCAGCGAGUGCCCCUGUUGUCUCCUUGGAGUUGCUGCUCCAUCCUGAAAAAACAUUACUGAGACACCACUGGUGCUGCUUUGCAGGAGGAUGUUCUCAGGACUCUGGCACACAAGGUGAAGUACCAGCCAGCUUUUCUGACAGCAAGGAAAAGUGUCUUGAAUGUUUCUCUAGAAAGUACAGUGGGUUUUCUUUUUAA